Long non-coding RNA from Saccostrea cuccullata (small rock oyster), 303 nucleotides. RefSeq lists it as uncharacterized. The transcript has 3 exons. NCBI's taxonomy places the organism in Eukaryota, Metazoa, Mollusca, Bivalvia, Ostreida, Ostreidae. The record is from RefSeq and is a predicted model, not a curated record.
GUCACGUUUCCACAUAAGGAUAAAAAAAAUUUAUCGUUAGAGAAAUGGAAUUCAAGGAUAUCUAUGUUGUAUUUUAAAGUUAAACAUUUAAGUGGAUCUGUAAAUCUAUUUACAACAAUUUCAGGGAAAUGGCCCUAAACUCUGAGGAAAGAAGGCAACGAUCCAGUCCAAAUUCCAGUCAAACAAGUGGUUUAUCAUUUGAGAACCCAAGUAGUUCUAUAUCAUCUAACGCAAGUCAACAAGAAGAUGUAAGCAAUGAAAACCAAACAAGAUUGCAGAAGGAAUUUCAACGGGCAAGUACAU